CAGUCGCCGCGGGAAUACGUAGGGUGCGAGCGUUAAUCGGAAUUACUGGGCGUAAAGCGUGCGCAGGCGGUUGUGCAAGACAGAUGUGAAAUCCCCGAGCUUAACUUGGGAACUGCAUUUGUGACUGCACGGCUAGAGUGUGUCAGAGGGGGGUAGAAUUCCACGUGUAGCAGUGAAAUGCGUAGAUAUGUGGAGGAAUACCGAUGGCGAAGGCAGCCCCCUGGGAUAACACUGACGCUCAUGCACGAAAGCGUGGGGAGCAAACAGGAUUAGAUACCCCCGUAGUCCCUGUCUCUUAUAC
Molecule: ribosomal RNA, 301 nt
Filed under: uncultured bacterium
Lineage: Bacteria
Description: partial 16S ribosomal RNA
Rfam family: Bacterial small subunit ribosomal RNA
Source: RNAcentral